This 467-nucleotide ribosomal RNA is filed under the name uncultured bacterium. RNAcentral describes it as "bacterial SSU rRNA". It matches the Rfam family "Bacterial small subunit ribosomal RNA", at positions 335 to 793 of the family's 1533-position model. The record is from RNAcentral.
ACUCCUACGGGAGGCAGCAGUGGGGAAUUGUUCGCAAUGGGCGCAAGCCUGACGACGCAACGCCGCGUGGAGGAUGAAGACCUUCGGGUCGUAAACUCCUUUCGAUCGAGACGAAUGGCCUCCGGGUGAACAAUCCGGAGGAGUGACGGUACCGAGAGAAGAAGCCCCGGCUAACUCCGUGCCAGCAGCCGCGGUAAUACGGGGGGGGCAAGCGUUGUUCGGAAUUACUGGGCGUAAAGGGCUCGUAGGUGGCCAACUAAGUCAGACGUGAAAUCCCUCGGCUUAACCGGGGAACUGCGUCUGAUACUGGAUGGCUUGAGAUUGGGAGAGGGAUGCGGAAUUCCAGGUGUAGCGGUGAAAUGCGUAGAUAUCUGGAGGAACACCGGUGGCGAAGGCGGCAUCCUGGACCAACACUGACACUGAGGAGCGAAAGCCAGGGGAGCAAACGGGAUUAGAUACCCUGGUAG